Molecule: long non-coding RNA, 522 nt
Organism: Ctenopharyngodon idella (grass carp)
Lineage: Eukaryota; Metazoa; Chordata; Actinopteri; Cypriniformes; Xenocyprididae
Exons: 2
Source: RefSeq, a predicted model, not a curated record
ACACAAACAUCAUCAUGUCAGAAUCAGGCUCUUCAACAGGAAUCAAACACCAGGAUGAGUUUGAAACACUCAUGAAGCAGGAAACGUUCUGAGGGAACGUUAAUAGAACGUUUGUUCAAAGCUGUGUGGUCUUUAAUAAAUGUUAGCAGCACAAAAAUCUUAUUUAAUACAUCGAUCAUGGAAUAUUUUUUUUCUGAAUCAUUAUAGUUCAUCUAACAUUUUUUAAACGUUUCUACUUGUUUCAGAACGUUCAGAGAACAUUCAAAAGUAACGUUCCCACAAUGUUUGAAGAAUGAUACAAUGGAAUGUUCCCUUAACGUUCACAUAACCAAGAAACAACGUUUUAAAAUAUUAAAAAAAACAUUCAGAAAUAACGUUUUCAUAACUUAAUGGUAACGUUAGCAAAACAUUCUUAGAAUAUAUAUAUUUUUUCUAUAUAAUUUCUUGUUUUAUUUUGAUGUUGGGGUAAAAUCUGACCUGAUGCGAUGAUUGACAAACAUAAUAAAAAUAUAUGAGAAGAAA